GGGGAAAUAGCUUAGUUAGUUAGAGUGCUGCUGUCACGCCAUAAGUCGCGGGUUCGAACCUCAUUUUCCUCG
This 72-nucleotide transfer RNA is filed under the name Hordeum vulgare. Its description in RNAcentral is "tRNA-Sec". It matches the Rfam family "tRNA". From Rfam's summary of the family: Transfer RNA (tRNA) molecules are approximately 80 nucleotides in length. Their secondary structure includes four short double-helical elements and three loops (D, anti-codon, and T loops). The record is from RNAcentral. RNAcentral also lists the same sequence under 1 other name. Lineage: Eukaryota; Viridiplantae; Streptophyta; Magnoliopsida; Poales; Poaceae.